GAAUCAGGAUGUUUCGACCUAUUGAAUUGCUCCUCGGAAAAAGCGCAAGCCUUCUUCUGUCGAAUUGAGGAAGACGCAAUAAAAUACUGCAGAAAGACAUGCAGGAAAUGCGACAAAUAUCCUAAGCCCAUUACCCUGAAUCAGUGCAUGGAUCCCGUUGAUUCCUCGUCAAUCUGUUACACACUUCACAAAGAAAUUUGUGUUUGCAAAGACGAGUCAAUUAAAUCAAUUUGCGAUGGCUAUUGUAGUGGGUGUGGCGGAACGAUAAGAAGAAACGAUACGAACUAUGGAUGUCAUAAAAUAGACCAGGUGAAAAGACGUGAACUGUUGACGAGGCUUAUUCAUUGAAGAAUGCGACAGUGAUUUUGAUAUCGUGUUACAACAUGGCAACAUAUUUAAUAUCAUGUACAAAUACCUAUAAAGUGUUAUGGUUGUU
Dreissena polymorpha is the source of this 436-nucleotide long non-coding RNA. RefSeq lists it as uncharacterized. The record is from RefSeq and is a predicted model, not a curated record. The transcript has 3 exons. NCBI's taxonomy places the organism in Eukaryota, Metazoa, Mollusca, Bivalvia, Myida, Dreissenidae.